UUCCGUUUUGGGGACCUGGGGGGGGGUCCUUUCCGGGGUUUCCACUUCCCAACCCCCGGGGACCAUCCUUUUCGGUGCCUUGGGGGGUCCACCCCCCCCCCGGUAAAAAGGGACGGCCCGCCCGAGGACCCCUAAACUCUGUUUUUAGUGGAACUUCUGAGUAAAACAAACAAAUAAAUCAAAACUUUCAACAACGGAUCUCUUGGUUCUGGCAUCGAUGAAGAACGCAGCAAAAUGCGAUAAGUAAUGUGAAUUGCAGAAUUCAGUGAAUCAUCGAAUCUUUGAACGCACAUUGCGCCCGCCAGUAUUCUGGCGGGCAUGCCUGUUCGAGCGUCAUUUCAACCCUCAAGCUCAGCUUGGUGUUGGGACUCGCGGUAACCCGCGUUCCCCAAAUCGAUUGGCGGUCACGUCGAGCUUCCAUAGCGUAGUAAUCAUACACCUCGUUACUGGUAAUCGUCGCGGCCACGCCGUAAAACCCCAACUUCUGAAUGUGACCUCGGAUCAGGUAGAAUCCCAGAUUUUCA
Molecule: ribosomal RNA, 524 nt
Filed under: fungal sp.
Lineage: Eukaryota; Fungi
Description: eukaryotic LSU rRNA
Rfam family: 5.8S ribosomal RNA (bases 183-336)
Source: RNAcentral